This 240-nucleotide unclassified non-coding RNA is filed under the name soil metagenome. RNAcentral describes it as "partial contains 5.8S ribosomal RNA, internal transcribed spacer 2, and large subunit ribosomal RNA". The record is from RNAcentral.
AACAAGGCGUACCUGCGGACCUGCGGAGGGAUCAUUAUCGAGUGUAAUCUACCCCUUAAAAAAGGGUGGUACCCUCCCGUCCUUUGCAGGCCCCCUUUUUUUAUGGGGGGCUCUUUUUAAGACUUUCUGCUUCGGCGGGGUUAUUCCCGCCGGAACACCCUCAAAAAACUCUCGGAAAAAAUCGUUCAGUCCGAGAAAUUUUUGAAAAUAUAAAAACUUUCAACAACGGAUCUCAGAUCG